CAGGCUCUGCUUCAACCGAAGCCUGGCGCUCUGCGUCAGAGAUUCAUGUAGGUUGGGUGGGGCCAC
RNAcentral lists this non-coding RNA (66 nucleotides) under unclassified sequences. Its description in RNAcentral is "DUF3800-VIII RNA". It matches the Rfam family "DUF3800-VIII RNA". From Rfam's summary of the family: Bacteroidetes, Cyanobacteria, Firmicutes, Planctomycetes (1 example), Proteobacteria, Tenericutes (1 example). The record is from Rfam by way of RNAcentral.